CGCACACACUGUCGCACACACAGCGGAAGCAAUGCCCUCCCUGCCUAACGAACCAUUUCCUGUCGUGCCACGGUGAUAAACUUCUUCCCCAGACCGAGGCUAGCGCAAGCCAAAAAAAAUAAUCCUGCUUUCUCAGUGCCGGGCGUGUCUCCCUCUGAUCGAGCUGAGAGUGCGUUUCAUUCUGUUGCAGUCUUUGAAGGACAGACCCUGCCUCUCUCCUCUCUUUACUCUCUCUCCUCUCCCCUGUCUCUUCACUCUCCUCUCUCUCUCCCUAUACCUCAGUUUUAUCUGUUAAUCUGUGGCGUGUCUCUUUCUCUAAUCAUGCUGAGAGUGUGUUUGUUUGCAGGACUAGCUUCUGUUAAGGGGUGUCUCAUCUGAGAGACUCUUGGUGAGGAAGAUUCCCUUUUAAGGAAGCCGUUUUGCUUGUCUCUGUCUCUCUCUCUCUGUUUCUACCUGUCUCUGCCUCCCAGGUGAAUUCCUCUCCUCUCGGCUCCUGCAGGAGAUUAUACCUCCUGAUUGUGUUUUUCUUGGCACGCUUCCAGCAGGCAGUGUGAGUGGAGGUGAAUGAUUUUGGCGCAGGGAUGGCGUGAAGGCGUCCUGCGCCGAUCGUGAAGAUCAAUCCAUUCUGUGCACGGGCGAGUCUGGCGCUGGCAAGACUGAAAACACCAAGAAAGUGAUUCAGUAUCUCGCUC
This is a long non-coding RNA of Polyodon spathula (Mississippi paddlefish), 692 nucleotides long. RefSeq lists it as uncharacterized. The record is from RefSeq and is a predicted model, not a curated record. The transcript has 3 exons. Lineage: Eukaryota; Metazoa; Chordata; Actinopteri; Acipenseriformes; Polyodontidae.